GCACAAGCGAGGACAUGUGGUUAAUUCGAUGAUACGCGAGGAACCUUACCUGGGCUUAAAUGUAGAGUGCAUUUUUUAGAGAUAGAAAUUCCCUUCGGGCUUUCUGCAAGGUGCUGCAUGGUUGUCGUCAGCUCGUGCCGUGAGGUGUCGGGUUAAGUCCCAUAACGAGCGCAACCCUUAUCGUUAGUUGCCAUCUGGUAAUGCAGGGGACUCUAGCGAAACUGCCACCGUAAGGUGAGAGGAAGGUGGGGAUGACGUCAAAUCAGCACGGCCCUUAUGUCCAGGGCUACACACGUGUUACAAUGGUCGGUACAGAGGGCAGCUACCUGGUGACAGGAUGCUAAUCUCGAAAACCGGUCUCAGUUCGGAUCGAAGUCUGCAACUCGACUUCGUGAAGCUGGAUUCGCUAGUAAUCGCGCAUCAGCUAUGGCGCGGUGAAUACGUUCCCGGGCCUU
Molecule: ribosomal RNA, 455 nt
Filed under: uncultured Sphingobacteriales bacterium
Lineage: Bacteria; Pseudomonadati; Bacteroidota; Sphingobacteriia; Sphingobacteriales
Description: bacterial SSU rRNA
Rfam family: Bacterial small subunit ribosomal RNA
Source: RNAcentral